Molecule: non-coding RNA, 2181 nt
Filed under: Betula luminifera
Lineage: Eukaryota; Viridiplantae; Streptophyta; Magnoliopsida; Fagales; Betulaceae
Source: RNAcentral
GUAUGUGUGUGUAUAUGAGAGUUUGUGUGUAUGUAUAUGUGUGUAAUUAUGAGUCUUGACAAACAUAUUGACUUGAGAUUAAAUUGUUUAAAAUUCAAGUUAAUUUUUUAAUUAACUCAAAUAAUAAAAUCUUAACAAUAAUCAAUUAAUAUGAAUUUACUAAAAAAUUAAGUAAUCAUGACAUUUACUUUAUAUAUGCAGUGAAUAAAUUAAUUGAGUAGUUUGUAAACAAGUUCAAGUUUGUUCGAAAAAUAAAUAAAUAAAGUUUGAACAAAUUAUCUAAUUCAAUGAUAAGGUUGAGCUCGGCUUGUGCUUGAAAAAAAUUAAAUAAAUUGAGCUGUUACAUUCAAUAUAAUACUCGACUCGGCUUGAUUAUGACCCUAGCUGUUGUUAAUAGGUAAGUUAAUGAUGAGAUUCAAGCUCAUACACUAACAUACACUAACGUACAUUAGCCACAAAGUUCAAGCACUAGUGGAGCUUUAGUCCAUUGCUUUGCUUGUAUGCGGCAUAUGUAGUAGCAUAGCAUCAAAAGAAACCAACCUGUAUAAUAAACCCGAUUCAAUAUAAUAUAAUGAAUAAUAUGAUGAGUAAAGCUUGUGUUUUGUGCGCAUAUAACGCAAGUUGAGAUAUUACAUCAAUAAUUAGAGACAACGUGAGACUUUCAGCUUUUGUCAUACACAAAGAUGUAUAGCCAAUAUAUUAAAGCAUCAAGAACAUUUAUUUGCUUCCCCUUUCCCCCCUUCCCCGUUCUUGAAUAAUUUUUUUUAAAAAAAAUAAAACCUUUUAUUUGCUGAAAAUUUGAGAGAAGGCUUAGAAGUACAAGAAACUCUGAAAAAAGGUGGGAGAAAGAACAGUAAAAUCCCUUGUUUGUUUCUUGUUUUUUAUUGGAAAUUCUCCCCAUGAAUAACUUUGGGAUUUGUACACUACUUCAUGUACCGUACUUUGUCUCUUCAGAAAGGAGCAUCAAAUAUCUCACCAUUCCAUGGUCCCACUCCAUCUUGCAGGCAUAUCAAGAGACAUUUUAGAGCGAUUCUCUUGAGGUCAUUUCUUAUUUCACUAACAAGUUGUCUCCUGUCUAGAAAGUCCAACCUUUUAUCUCAAUGGUAAUUAUAAAGCACAGUCCAAGCUAAUGCUACAGUGCAUCAGUCUAGGUCUGUGAUGUGAGGCCCAUAAAUAAAAAUAUAUAUAUAUAUAUAUUUUUUUACUUCUUAUCAUGCCCAGGCUGAUGCAAUGUAACAUCAGCCUGGACUGAUGUAUAUCAGCCCUCUUAUCUCUAAAGCACACCACCUUUUGAAUCUAAUCCCAAUGUAGUACUUUUGCAAAAUUUAUUGCAGUGUAAAUUAGCCUGCGCAUAACCUUACUCGCGAGAUAGGCCACUUCCAUUGGCAAAACUAAAAGCAUUCCCACGAUGUCCUCUUACCUCAUGUGGUCGUUCGUUUGGAUAAGUAGCCUCAAUCCUCAUGGUGCCCGCCCCCUUUUUCUUUUAUGACUUAUGAGUGUUUUGUUCCUUUCUCUUGGCCUUUUCUUUUCCUGUUUGUGUAGUUGAUAUUUUCUCUUCUUUCUACUAUUUACUCCCACCCCCCACCAACAAAAAAGAAAGAGAAAAAAAAAGGGCACAUUUCAGGCCCACUGUUCUCAUAACAAUCUCCAAAUUUUAUUUUAUUUUAUUUUUUCCUUUCCCCCUUAUAAAUAAAUAAAUAAAAAGCAUUUUUUUUUCCGCCAUGAGAGUUGAUUGUAGAGAAGUCUCAACGAGCCCGAGGUACUGCAGAGAGGCCCUUCAACUUCAUGCAGGGCAAGUGCAACAGAGGUGUUUUCCUUAGUGACAACUAUUUUGACAAUACAGUACUUAACUUUUAAAGACGUAAUAGCUAACUAACUUACUACUCGAAAAAAAAAGUCCUGUGCCCAACCUAAGUGGAAGUGAGGCCACACGCAACCACCCAAUCACCCUGACCAAAUUGGGGUGGUUGCGCAGCCACCCCACUUUUUCAUUGAGGGUGGCAGCAUAACUACUCUUUUUAUUUUUUUAUUUUUUUUAAAGUAAAGCUCUACAUCCGUUUGGAUUUUUUGAAAUAAACUAGAGUACUCUAUAAAAAACAUUUUUAAAAAUAAUUUACAUUUAUGUCACAUCAAAACACUUUUUUAAAUAAAAAACAUAACACUUCCCAAAACACGUUAACA